This 887-nucleotide non-coding RNA is filed under the name Talaromyces marneffei ATCC 18224. RNAcentral's name for it is "Penicillium marneffei ATCC 18224 Bacterial small subunit ribosomal RNA". It matches the Rfam family "Bacterial small subunit ribosomal RNA", at positions 608 to 1533 of the family's 1533-position model. Lineage: Eukaryota; Fungi; Ascomycota; Eurotiomycetes; Eurotiales; Trichocomaceae. The record is from Rfam by way of RNAcentral.
AAUAACACUUAAAUAGAGUAUUUAUUUACUAGAGUUUUAUAAGAGAAGAGACUUCUGAGUAGUGAUAAAAUAUGUUGAUACCAGAGGGACUGGUAACGGCGAAGGCAUCCUUCUAUGUAAAAACUGACGUUGAGGGACGAAGGCUUGGGUAGCAAUAAGGAUUAGAUACCCUAGUAGUCCAAGCAGAAAAUGAUGAAUGUCAUAGACUAGAUAAAAAUUUAGUCUAUAAAUGAAAGUGUAAGCAUUCCACCUCAAGAGUACUAUGGCAACAUAUAAACUGAAAUCAUUAGACCGUUUCUGAAACCAGUAGUGAAGUAUGUUAUUUAAUUCGAUAAUCCGCGAAUAACCUUACCACAAUUUGAAUAUAUUAAGUUAUUACAAGCGCUGCACGGCUGUCUUUAGUUAAUGUCGUGAGAUCUGGUUAACUCCUAAAAUUAACGAAAACCCUCAUUUUAUUUGUAUAUAUAAAGUGGUUCUCCAGUAUAGUGGAAAGAUAAAAGGGAUUAAGACAAGUCAUCAUGGCCUAAAUAUUGUGGGCUAUAGACGUGCCACAUAUGCCUCUACAAAGGGAUGCUAUAUUGCGAAAUGGAGCUAAUCCCCAAAAUUGGAUAUAAUAUGGAUUGUUGUCUGUAAUUCGACAGCAUGAAUAAGGAAUUACUAGUAAUCGUGAAUCACCAUCGUCACGGUGAAUCUAAUCUCAGCUAGGUACUAACCACUCGUCAGGCGCUGAAAGGAGUAUGUGCAAUAAGUUUGGUUUGUUUAUAUAUUAAUAUACAUGAUUCUUGAUGUAUAAAUAUGUAGAUUUAAUUUUCGUAUGCAUGACUUUAAUUGGUGUUAAGUCGAAAUAUGGUUCGUGUAAUGGAAAUUGCACGGGAUUAAUAAAUUUG